AUUGAACGCUGGCGGCAGGCUUAACACAUGCAAGUCGAACGGUAACGGGAAGGAAGCUUGCUUUCUUUGCUGACGAGUGGCGGACGGGUGAGUAAUGCUUGGGAAUCUGUUUUAUGGAGGGGGAUAACUACGGGAAACUGUAGCUAAUACCGCGUAAUAUCGAGAGAUUAAAGUGUGGGACCGCAAGGCCACAUGCCAUGAAGUGAGCCCAAGUGGGAUUAGGUAGCUGGUGGGGUAAAGGCCUACCAAGCCGUCGAUCUCUAGCUGGUCUGAGAGGAUGACCAGCCACACUGGGACUGAGACACGGCCCAGACUCCUACGGGAGGCAGCAGUGGGGAAUAUUGCACAAUGGGCGCAAGCCUGAUGCAGCCAUGCCGCGUGAAUGAAGAAGGCCUUCGGGUUGUAAAGUUCUUUCGGUGGUGAGGAAGGUUGGCGUGUUAAUAGCACGUUGAUUUGACGUUAGCCACAGAAGAAGCACCGGCUAACUCCGUGCCAGCAGCCGCGGUAAUACGGAGGGUGCGAGCGUUAAUCGGAAUAACUGGGCGUAAAGGGCACGCAGGCGGAUACUUAAGUGAGGUGUGAAAGCCCUGGGCUUAACCUAGGAAUUGCAUUUCAUACUGGGUAUCUAGAGUAUUUUAGGGAGGGGUAGAAUUCCACGUGUAGCGGUGAAAUGCGUAGAGAUGUGGAGGAAUACCGAAGGCGAAGGCAGCCCCUUGGGGGAAUACUGACGCUCAUGUGCGAAAGCGUGGGGAGCAAACAGG
RNAcentral lists this ribosomal RNA (761 nucleotides) under uncultured bacterium. RNAcentral's name for it is "bacterial SSU rRNA". It matches the Rfam family "Bacterial small subunit ribosomal RNA", at positions 28 to 776 of the family's 1533-position model. The record is from RNAcentral.